UACGAAGGGGGCUAGCGUUGCUCGGAAUUACUGGGCGUAAAGGGCGCGUAGGCGGCGCUGUUAGUCAGGCGUGAAAUUCCCGGGCUUAACCUGGGGACUGCGCUUGAUACGGCAGUGUUAGAGGGUGGAAGAGGGUCGCGGAAUUCCCAGUGUAGAGGUGAAAUUCGUAGAUAUUGGGAAGAACACCGGUGGCGAAGGCGGCGACCUGGUCCAUUACUGACGCUGAGGCGCGACAGCGUGGGGAGCAAACAGG
Molecule: ribosomal RNA, 253 nt
Filed under: uncultured bacterium
Lineage: Bacteria
Description: partial 16S ribosomal RNA
Rfam family: Bacterial small subunit ribosomal RNA
Source: RNAcentral